This 253-nucleotide ribosomal RNA is filed under the name uncultured bacterium. RNAcentral's name for it is "partial 16S ribosomal RNA". It matches the Rfam family "Bacterial small subunit ribosomal RNA", at positions 524 to 776 of the family's 1533-position model. The record is from RNAcentral.
UACGAAGGGGGCUAGCGUUGUUCGGAAUUACUGGGCGUAAAGCGCACGUAGGCGGACUGCUAAGUCGAGGGUGAAAUCCUGGAGCUCAACUCCAGAACUGCCUCCGAUACUGGCAAUCUUGAGUCCGGAAGAGGUGAGUGGAAUUCCUAGUGUAGAGGUGGAAUUCGUAGAUAUUAGGAAGAACACCAGUGGCGAAGGCGGCUCACUGGUCCGGUACUGACGCUGAGGUGCGAAAGCGUGGGGAGCAAACAGG